Long non-coding RNA from Pelodiscus sinensis (Chinese soft-shelled turtle), 647 nucleotides. RefSeq lists it as uncharacterized. Lineage: Eukaryota; Metazoa; Chordata; Testudines; Trionychidae. The record is from RefSeq and is a predicted model, not a curated record.
UUUAACCUGAGAGACACCCCUCCAUUCCCGUGGCCCCAAACCCUGGCCCAAGCUGCUGGGAUGCUGGGGGAGAAGUCGACUCCCAGAGGGGGAAGCUGCCCUUGAAGUUGCCUUUCCCCCGUGGCAGGGUGAGUGGGCCGCCCUAGUCCGGGCUGGUUCCGAGCUGUUAACCCCCCUUCUCCUGCAGCCUCCAGCAUCAUCAUGGCUGCCCCGCGCCUCCAAGUGCGGAUCAUCUUCUGUGGCAGUUGAGGAUACAGAAGCCGGUUCCUGCAGCUGCAGGAGUUCCUAGAGAAACGCUUCCCAAAGCAGCUGGAGAUUACAGGGGAAAUGGCUCCCAGUUCUGGGGCCUUCGAGAUUCUUCUUCCGGACAGCGGCCGGGUCCUGCACUCCAAGAUCAAUGGCGAUGGCUACGUGGACAGUAAUGCCAAAGUGCAGCGCAUCUGUGAAGGCAUCAGCCAGGUCCUGAAACAGUAGCAAGCAGGGAUUGGGGUGCUAUGCUUUCCAGGGCAGCACAUGACGGGAUCAGCCAAAAGGGAGUCACAGCCCAGGCUAGUCCCUGACCUCCCUCCCGGUGCUCCAAUCCCUGGGGCUGUUGCCAAGCAAUAAAGAGCAACAUCCUGGCAGGCAGCUCCAUGCUAUUUAUUUAC